Molecule: transfer RNA, 78 nt
Filed under: Microbacterium maritypicum MF109
Lineage: Bacteria; Bacillati; Actinomycetota; Actinomycetes; Micrococcales; Microbacteriaceae
Description: tRNA-Met
Rfam family: tRNA
About the family: Transfer RNA (tRNA) molecules are approximately 80 nucleotides in length.
Source: RNAcentral
CGCAGGGUAGGGCAGCUCGGUCAGCCCGCCGGCCUCAUACGCCGGAGGUCGCAGGUUCGAAUCCUGCCCCUGCACCCA